Molecule: ribosomal RNA, 520 nt
Filed under: uncultured Glomus
Lineage: Eukaryota; Fungi; Glomeromycota; Glomeromycetes; Glomerales; Glomeraceae
Description: SSU rRNA
Rfam family: Eukaryotic small subunit ribosomal RNA
Source: RNAcentral
AGCAGCCGCGGUAAUUCCAGCUCCAAUAGCGUAUAUUAAAGUUGUUGCAGUUAAAAAGCUCGUAGUUGAAUUUCGGGAUCAAUAUAUCGGUCGUGCCUUCGGUACGUACUGGUGUCAUUGGUUUCUCCUUUCUGACGAACCAUGAUGUCAUUAAUUUGGUGUUAUGGGGAGUUAGGACUGUUACUUUGAAAAAAUUAGAGUGUUUAAAGCAGGCUUUAGCUUGAAUACAUUAGCAUGGAAUAAUGAAAUAGGACGUUCGAACCUAUUUUUGUUGGUUUCUAGGAUCAACGUAAUGAUUAAUAGGGAUAGUUGGGGGGCAUUAGUAUUCAAUUGUCAGAGGUGAAAUUCUUGGAUUUAUUGAAGACUAACUACUGCGAAAGCAUUUGCCAAGGAUGUUUUUCAUUAAUCAAGAACGAAAGUUAGGGGAUCGAAGACGAUCAGAUACCGUCGUAGUCUUAACCAUAAACUAUGCCGACUAGGGAUCGGAUGAUGUUAAUUUUUUUAAUGACUCAUUCGGCGC